CAGCCGCCGCGGGAAUACGUAGGUAGCAAGCGUUGUCCGGAAUUAUUGGGCGUAAAGGGCCCGCAGGCGGUUUCUUAAGUCUGAAGUUAAAGGCUGUGGCUUAACCAUAGUACGCUUUGGAAACUGUUUAACUUGAGUGCAAGAGGGGAGAGUGGAAUUCCAUGUGUAGCGGUGAAAUGCGUAGAUAUAUGGAGGAACACCGGUGGCGAAAGCGGCUCUCAGGCUUGUAACUGACGCUGAGGCUCGAAAGCGUGGGGCGCAAACAGGAUUAGAUACCCCAGUAGUCCCUGUCUCUUAUACC
This 301-nucleotide ribosomal RNA is filed under the name uncultured bacterium. Its description in RNAcentral is "partial 16S ribosomal RNA". It matches the Rfam family "Bacterial small subunit ribosomal RNA", at positions 509 to 808 of the family's 1533-position model. The record is from RNAcentral.